AUAUAUUGGUGCUAUUUGAUUUUCGGCCCUUGGAUAAAAAAAAUGUAUGGUUAGAAUGAUGUGGGCUCUUUUAGGGUUGAGUGAGUUUUUGGUUUAAUAGUAUAAUUUAACGGGUAAAAAUAGUCAAAAAGUUAAAUCUAACAGCAGAAAAUUUGAUAGCAUCAAACGCUUAGUGCUAUCGAUAGUAUUCCAGCCAGACUAUAUAUAUAUAUAUGAGUCCGGCUACUAUGUUAUUAAUA
RNAcentral lists this long non-coding RNA (239 nucleotides) under Ananas comosus (pineapple). RNAcentral describes it as "long non-coding RNA (ACOM_LNC025833)". The record is from RNAcentral. Lineage: Eukaryota; Viridiplantae; Streptophyta; Magnoliopsida; Poales; Bromeliaceae.